RNAcentral lists this ribosomal RNA (467 nucleotides) under uncultured bacterium. Its description in RNAcentral is "bacterial SSU rRNA". It matches the Rfam family "Bacterial small subunit ribosomal RNA", at positions 331 to 795 of the family's 1533-position model. The record is from RNAcentral.
CCAGACUCCUACGGGAGGCAGCAGUGAGGAAUAUUGGUCAAUGGGCGGAAGCCUGAACCAGCCAAGUCGCGUGAGGGACUAGGGCCCUGCGGGUCGUAAACCUCUUUUGCCGGGGAGCAGUGGUCCGGACGCGUCCGGACCGGGAGAGUACCCGGAGAAAAAGCAUCGGCUAACUCCGUGCCAGCAGCCGCGGUAAUACGGAGGAUGCGAGCGUUAUCCGGAUUUAUUGGGUUUAAAGGGUGCGUAGGCGGAAUGCCAAGUCAGCGGUAAAAUCGCGGGGCUCAACCUCGCUCCGCCGUUGAAACUGGCGUCCUUGAGUGGGCGAGAAGUAUGCGGAAUGCGUGGUGUAGCGGUGAAAUGCAUAGAUAUCACGCAGAACUCCGAUUGCGAAGGCAGCAUACCGGCGCCCAACUGACGCUGAAGCACGAAAGCGUGGGUAUCGAACAGGAUUAGAUACCCCCGUAGAU